Coffea arabica (coffee) is the source of this 484-nucleotide long non-coding RNA. RefSeq lists it as uncharacterized. The record is from RefSeq and is a predicted model, not a curated record. NCBI's taxonomy places the organism in Eukaryota, Viridiplantae, Streptophyta, Magnoliopsida, Gentianales, Rubiaceae.
AAAUACGACAGAGACGGGAAAAGGGUUACAUUCUUUCCUUCGUCUCUAUCAUUCUGCAUUAUCCCUAUAGCCGCUGCUCUAUCCCCAACCGGCCUUUACCCAAUUUCAGUUGCUGAGAUUUCUCCGGUCCUACUGCAAUGCUGAUCAUCAGGAAUGAAACUCUAUUCAUAGCGAGCAUUGGUUGUGCCUAUGUCACGGUCAAACUUGGAUUCAUGGCUUAUGAGAAGUGGUCUGGGCGAGAUAAACGGUCCAGGUUGGAGGGCCUGUACGAUGGGACUAGCAAAGGGAAAAGGGAUUAGCUGUUUGUCUAGGUUGCUAAUGGGGCGAUGAACUGAGAUUGACAUUCUGAUACUAGUAGUGAAAGUGGUGGUUUUGUUGGCAUAGAUAUGUAUGUUGGUUGGUUGGUUGUGGCUUUAAAGACCUCCUUUUUAUUUUUAACAUAAUCAUCUGUGUGAAUUUCUGGGUUCCUUUCCCCUGUUUUUGA